This 540-nucleotide ribosomal RNA is filed under the name bacterium HGT. RNAcentral describes it as "bacterial SSU rRNA". It matches the Rfam family "Bacterial small subunit ribosomal RNA", at positions 92 to 667 of the family's 1533-position model. The record is from RNAcentral.
GGAGUGGCAGACGGGUGAGUAACGCGUGGGAACAUACCCUUUCCUGCGGAAUAGCUCCGGGAAACUGGAAUUAAUACCGCAUACGCCCUACGGGGGAAAGAUUUAUCGGGGAAGGAUUGGCCCGCGUUGGAUUAGCUAGUUGGUGGGGUAAAGGCCUACCAAGGCGACGAUCCAUAGCUGGUCUGAGAGGAUGAUCAGCCACAUUGGGACUGAGACACGGCCCAAACUCCUACGGGAGGCAGCAGUGGGGAAUAUUGGACAAUGGGCGCAAGCCUGAUCCAGCCAUGCCGCGUGAGUGAUGAAGGCCUUAGGGUUGUAAAGCUCUUUCACCGAUGAAGAUAAUGACGGUAGUCGGAGAAGAAGCCCCGGCUAACUUCGUGCCAGCAGCCGCGGUAAUACGAAGGGGGCUAGCGUUGUUCGGAAUUACUGGGCGUAAAGCGCACGUAGGCGGAUAUUUAAGUCAGGGGUGAAAUCCCGCAGCUCAACUGCGGAACUGCCUUUGAUACUGGGUAUCUUGAGUAUGGAAGAGGUAAGUGGAAU